Molecule: ribosomal RNA, 498 nt
Filed under: uncultured bacterium
Lineage: Bacteria
Description: partial 16S ribosomal RNA
Rfam family: Bacterial small subunit ribosomal RNA
Source: RNAcentral
AUUGAACGCUGGCGGCAUGCCUUACACAUGCAAGUCGAACGGUAACGGGCCUUCGGGCGCCGACGAGUGGCGAACGGGUGAGUAAUGCAUCGGAACGUACCUUUCAGUGGGGGAUAACGUAGCGAAAGUUACGCUAAUACCGCCUAUUCUGUGAGCAGGAAAGCAGGGGAGCGCAAGACCUUGCGCUGAUUGCGCGGCCGAUGUCAGAUUCGCUAGUUGGUGAGGUAAAGGCUCACCAAGGGGACGAUCUGUAGCGGGUCUGAGAGGAUGAUCCGGCACACUGGAAAUGAGACACGGUCCAGACUCCUACGGGAGGAAGCAGUGGGGAAUUUUGGACAAUGGGGGCAACCCUGAUCCAGCCAUGCCGCGUGAGUGAAGAAGGCCUUCGGGUUGUAAAGCUCUUUCGGUCGGGAAGAAAUCGCAUGGGUUAAUACCCUGUGCGGAUGACGGUACCGGCAUAAGAAGCACCGGCUAACUACGUGCCAGCAGCCGCGGUAA